RNAcentral lists this long non-coding RNA (1095 nucleotides) under Macaca fascicularis (crab-eating macaque). RNAcentral's name for it is "lncRNA (ENSMFAG00000049754.1)". Lineage: Eukaryota; Metazoa; Chordata; Mammalia; Primates; Cercopithecidae. The record is from RNAcentral.
UUAUGAAAGUGUAACAAAUGUAAUUUUAAAGACCUUGAAACUUGGUGAGAACUUGAAUUCUUCAUAUUAUUAAAACCAUUUGGCCAGACACGGUGGUUCACGCCUGUAAUCCCAGCACUUUAGGAGGCCGAGGCGGGCAGAUCACCUGAGGUCGGGAGUUCAAGACCAGCCUGACCAAAAUGGAGAACCCCGUCUCUACUAAAAAUACAAAAAAUUUGCUGGGCAUGGUGGUACAUGCCUGUAAUCUCAGCUACUCAGGAGGCUGAGGCAGGAGAAUCGCUUGAACCCGGGAGGAAGAGGUUGCAGUGAGCCGAGAUCACACCAUUAUACUCCAGCCUGGGCAACAAGAGCGAAACUCCAUCUCAAAAAAAAAAAAAAAUCUCUCAAAAGAUACUUAAAGUAGGAACUCAAAUAAAUAUGUGUACACCUGUGUUCAUAGCAACAUCAUUUUACAGUAGCCAAAAGGUAGAAACAACACAAAUGUUCAUUGAUGGAUUAAUGGAUAAACAAAAUGUAGCAAAUACAUACAAUGGAAUAUUAUUCAGCCUUGAAAAGGAAGGAAUUCUGACACAGGCUACAACAUGGAUAAACCUUGAGGAUACCACACAAAGUGAAAUAAGCCAGUCACAAAAAGACAAAUACUGAAUGAUUCCACUUAUUUUAGGUACCUAGAGCAGUCAAAUUCAUAGAGAUAGAAAAUAGAAUGGUAGGCUGGGUGCUGUGACUCACACCUGUAAUCCCAGCACUUUGGGAGGUCAAGGUGGGCAGAUCACAAGGUCAGAAGUUCGAGACCAGCCUGGUCAACAUGGCGAAACCCUGUCUCUACUAAAAAUUCAAAAACUAGCCAGGUGUGUUGGCAGAUGCCUGUAAUCCCAGCUACUUGGGAGGCUGAGGCAGAGAAUUGCUUGAACCUGGGAGGCGGAGGUUGCAGUGAGCCGAGAUCACACUACUGCCCUCCAGCCUGGGUGAAUGAGACUCUGUCUCAAAAAAAAAAGAAAAAGGAAGAAUGGUUAUUGCUAGGGGCUGUAAAAAAUUAGGAGUUAGUGUUGUGUUCUUAUUUUGUUUGUUUGUUUGUUUUAUUUUAGAGGCAGAGUC